GACGAACGCUGGCGGCGCGCCUAACACAUGCAAGUCGAACGAGAGAUGAGGAGCUUGCUCUUCAAAUCGAGUGGCGAACGGGUGAGUAACGCGUGAGGAACCUGCCUCAAAGAGGGGGACAACAGUUGGAAACGACUGCUAAUACCGCAUAAGCCCACGGCUCGGCAUCGAGCAGAGGGAAAAGGAGCAAUCCGCUUUGAGAUGGCCUCGCGUCCGAUUAGCUAGUUGGUGAGGUAACGGCCCACCAAGGCGACGAUCGGUAGCCGGACUGAGAGGUUGAACGGCCACAUUGGGACUGAGACACGGCCCAGACUCCUACGGGAGGCAGCAGUGGGGAAUAUUGCACAAUGGGGGAAACCCUGAUGCAGCGACGCCGCGUGGAGGAAGAAGGUCUUCGGAUUGUAAACUCCUGUUGUUGAGGAAGAUAAUGACGGUACUCAACAAGGAAGUGACGGCUAACUACGUGCCAGCAGCCGCGGUAAAACGUAGGUCACAAGCGUUGUCCGGAAUUACUGGGUGUAAAGGGAGCGCAGGCGGGAGAACAAGUUGGAAGUGAAAUCCAUGGGCUCAACCCAUGAACUGCUUUCAAAACUGUUUUUCUUGAGUAGUGCAGAGGUAGGCGGAAUUCCCGGUGUAGCGGUGGAAUGCGUAGAUAUCGGGAGGAACACCAGUGGCGAAGGCGGCCUACUGGGCACCAACUGACGCUGAGGCUCGAAAGUGUGGGUAGCAAACAGGAUUAGAUACCCUGGUAGUCCACACCGUAAACGAUGAUUACUAGGUGUUGGAGGAUUGACCCCUUCAGUGCCGCAGUUAACACAAUAAGUAAUCCACCUGGGGAGUACGACCGCAAGGUUGAAACUCAAAGGAAUUGACGGGGGCUCGCACAAGCAGUGGAGUAUGUGGUUUAAUUCGACGCAACGCGAAGAACCUUACCAAGUCUUGACAUCCCUUGACGAUGCUGGAAACAGUAUUUCUCUUCGGAGCAAGGAGACAGGUGGUGCAUGGUUGUCGUCAGCUCGUGUCGUGAGAUGUUGGGUUAAGUCCCGCAACGAGCGCAACCCUUAUGGUCAGUUACUACGCAAGAGGACUCUGGCCAGACUGCCGUUGACAAAACGGAGGAAGGUGGGGAUGACGUCAAAUCAUCAUGCCCUUUAUGACUUGGGCUACACACGUACUACAAUGGCGUUAAACAAAGAGAAGCAAGACCGCGAGGUGGAGCAAAACUCAGAAACAACGUCCCAGUUCGGACUGCAGGCUGCAACUCGCCUGCUCGAAGUUCGGAAUUGCUAGUAAUCGUGGAAUCAGCGUGCCACGGUGAAAUACGUUCCCGGGCCUU
This 1336-nucleotide ribosomal RNA is filed under the name uncultured bacterium. Its description in RNAcentral is "bacterial SSU rRNA". It matches the Rfam family "Bacterial small subunit ribosomal RNA", at positions 28 to 1382 of the family's 1533-position model. The record is from RNAcentral.